RNAcentral lists this ribosomal RNA (292 nucleotides) under uncultured bacterium. RNAcentral's name for it is "partial 16S ribosomal RNA". It matches the Rfam family "Bacterial small subunit ribosomal RNA", at positions 505 to 796 of the family's 1533-position model. The record is from RNAcentral.
GUGCCAGCAGCCGCGGUAAGACAGAGGGUGCAAACGUUGUUCGGAAUUACUGGGCGUAAAGCGCGUGUAGGCGGCCAUCUAAGUCGGGCGUGAAAUCCCACGGCUCAACCGUGGAAGUGCACUCGAAACUGGAUGGCUAGAGUCCUGGAGAGGAAGGUGGAAUGCUUGGUGUAGAGGUGAAAUUCGUAGAUAUCAAGCGGAACACCGGUGGCGAAGGCGGCCUUCUGGACAGUGACUGACGCUGAGACGCGAAAGCGUGGGGAGCAAACAGGAUUAGAAACCCGUGUAGUCC